UACGUAGGGUGCAAGCGUUAAUCAGAAUUACUGGGCGUAAAGCGUGCGCAGGCGGUGAUGUAAGACAGAUGUGAAAUCCCCGGGCUCAACCUGGGAACUGCAUUUGUGACUGCAUCGCUGGAGUGCGGCAGAGGGGGAUAGAAUUCCACGUGUAGCAGUGAAAUGCGUAGAGAUGUGGAGGAACACCGAUGGCGAAGGCAGCCUCCUGGGCCAGCACUGACGCUCAUGCACGAAAGCGUGGGGGAGCAAACAGG
RNAcentral lists this ribosomal RNA (254 nucleotides) under uncultured bacterium. RNAcentral describes it as "partial 16S ribosomal RNA". It matches the Rfam family "Bacterial small subunit ribosomal RNA", at positions 524 to 776 of the family's 1533-position model. The record is from RNAcentral.